UACGUAGGGAGCAAGCGUUGUUCGGAUUUACUGGGCGUAAAGGGCGCGUAGGCGGCGCGGUAAGUCACUCGUGGAAUCUCUGAGCUUAACUCAGAACGGCCAAGUGAUACUGCAGUGCUAGAGUGCAGAAGGGGCAAUCGGAAUUCUUGGUGUAGCGGUGAAAUGCGUAGAUAUCAAGAGGAACACCUGAGGUGAAGACGGGUUGCUGGGCUGACACUGACGCUGAGGCGCGAAAGCCAGGGGAGCAAACGGG
This 253-nucleotide ribosomal RNA is filed under the name uncultured bacterium. RNAcentral's name for it is "partial 16S ribosomal RNA". It matches the Rfam family "Bacterial small subunit ribosomal RNA", at positions 524 to 776 of the family's 1533-position model. The record is from RNAcentral.